Non-coding RNA from Pelobates cultripes (western spadefoot toad), 216 nucleotides. The record is from the annotation of a GenBank genome assembly. Lineage: Eukaryota; Metazoa; Chordata; Amphibia; Anura; Pelobatidae.
CUUACAGCCGGCAGGGGAGGGAGAGGGAGGGAGAGAGGACCCGGGAGCUCAGGCUGCAGCUCCUCCGGGUCCUCCUCUCGCGAGAUUUGAAGCGUUGCCGCGGUUACCACGGCAACGCUCCAAAUCUCGCGAGAGUGAACUCUAGCCCUGGAGCGCGGGCUAGAGUUCACUCUCACCACCUGACCACCAAUGAAUCCCCCACCGGACCACCAGGGA